RNAcentral lists this ribosomal RNA (319 nucleotides) under uncultured bacterium. RNAcentral describes it as "bacterial SSU rRNA". It matches the Rfam family "Bacterial small subunit ribosomal RNA", at positions 30 to 296 of the family's 1533-position model. The record is from RNAcentral.
AUUGAACGCUGGCGGCAUGCCUUACACAUGCAAGUCGAACGUGAAAGCGGGGCAACCCGCAAGUAGAGUGGCGGACGGGUGAGUAAUACAUCGGAACGUGUCCAGUAAUGGGGGAUAACCUAGCGAAAGUUAGGCUAAUACCGCAUACGAUCUGCGGAUGAAAGCGGGGGAUGCGGCACUAAAGGCUUUUGGCGAAGGUGGCCAAAGGUGAGUCAAGAGCUUUUAGUGCUGCACCUCGCGUUAUUGGAGCGGCUGAUGUCUGAUUAGCUAGUUGGUGAGGUAAAGGCUUACCAAGGCGACGAUCAGUAGCUGGUCUGAG